RNAcentral lists this ribosomal RNA (1467 nucleotides) under uncultured Bordetella sp. Its description in RNAcentral is "partial 16S-23S ribosomal RNA intergenic spacer". It matches the Rfam family "Bacterial small subunit ribosomal RNA". Lineage: Bacteria; Pseudomonadati; Pseudomonadota; Betaproteobacteria; Burkholderiales; Alcaligenaceae. The record is from RNAcentral.
AGUUUGAUUAUGGCUCAGAUUGAACGCUGGCGGGAUGCUUUACACAUGCAAGUCGAACGGCAGCACGGACUUCGGUCUGGUGGCGAGUGGCGAACGGGUGAGUACUGUAUCGGAACGUGCCUAGUAGCGGGGGAUAACUACGCGAAAGCGUAGCUAAUACCGCAUACGCCCUUCGGGGGAAAGCGGGGGGACCUUCGGGCCUCGCACCAUUGUGGGAGUGGCCGAUAUCAGAUUAGCUAGUUGGUGGGGUAACGGCUCACCAAGGCGACGAUCCGUAGCUGGUUUGAGAGGACGAGACCAGCCACACUGGGACUGAGACAUGGCCCAGACUCCUACGGGAGGCAGUGGGGAAUUUUGACAAUGGGGGAAACUGAUCCAGCCAUCCCGCGUGUGCGAUGAAGGCCUUUGGCUAAAAGCACUUUUGGCAGGAAAGAAAACGGCACGGGAUAAUACUCCCCGUGUGCAACUACCGUACUCGGCACACCAUAAUCAUGCACAGCAGCCGCGGUAAUACGUAGGGUGCAAGCGUUAAUCGGAAUUACUGGGCGUAAAAGCGUGCGCAGGCGGUUCGGAAAGAAAGAUGUGAAAUCCCAGAACUUAACUUUCUUGGAACUGCAUUUUUAACUACCGAGCUAGAGUGUGUCAGAGGGAGUGUGGAACGCGUAGCAGUGAAAUGCGAUAUGCGGAGGAACACCGAUGGCGAAGGCAGCCUCCUGGGAUAACACUGACGCUCAUGCACGAAAGCGUGGGGAGCAAACAGGAUUAGAUACUCCCGGUAGUCCACGCCCUAAACGAUGUCAACUAGCUGUUAGCUCGCCUUGGUAGCGCAGCUAACGCGUGAAGUUGACCGCCUGGGGAGUGGUCGCAAGAUUAAAACUCAAAAAGGAAUUGACGGGGACUCCGCACAAGCGGUGGAUGAUGUGAUUUAAUUGAUGCAACGCGAAAAACCUUACCUACCCUUGACAUGUCUGGAAUCCUGAAGAGAUUUGGGAGUGCUCGCAAGAGAACCGGAACACAGGUGCUGCAUGGCUGUCGUCAGCUCGUGUCGUGAGAUGUUGGGUUAAGUCCCGGCAACGAGCGCAACCCUGUCAUUAGUUGCUACGAAAGGGCACUCUAAUGAGAUCGCCGGUGACAAACCGAGGAAGGGGAGCGACGUCAAGUCCUCAAGCACUUUAUGGGUAGGGCUUCACACGUCAUACAAUGGUCGGGACAGAGGUCGCCAACCCGCGAGGGGGAGCCAAUCCCAGAAACCCGAUCGCAGUCCGGAUCGCAGUCUGCAACUCGACUGCGUGAAGUCGGAAUCGCUAGUAAUCGCGGAUCAGCAUGUCGCGGUGAUGUUCCCGGGUCUGCACACACCGCCCGUCACACCAUGGAGUGGGUUUUACCAGAAGUAGUUAGCCUAACCGUAAGGAGGGCGAUUACUACGGUAGGAUUCAUGAUUGGGGUGAGGUCGUAACAAGGUAACCC